Cercocebus atys (sooty mangabey) is the source of this 333-nucleotide non-coding RNA. Ensembl annotates it as small Cajal body-specific RNA 7. Its record names the gene SCARNA7. The record is from Ensembl. NCBI's taxonomy places the organism in Eukaryota, Metazoa, Chordata, Mammalia, Primates, Cercopithecidae.
CGGAAAUGAUGAAAUAGAGAUAAUUGGGUGUUGAAUGUUGUAUGACUGGAAAUUUUUAAUAUGUAUGUUAUGUAAUUCUUAUAAGUUUAGUGUUUUAUAGGUACUUAAUAGAGUAUAGUGUGUAUGCAUGCGUGUGUGCUUGUGGUGGCUAUGGAAAGGGGGCACUGACUGGUGAUGCUGAUAUUGGAGUGCAUCUGAGGCCGUUGUAGAAAUAACAUGGGUUGUUGAUUACAACAUUGCCAGUGAUUAUAACCCAAGAACAGCUCACCUAACUAGCCCGGCACCCUAAAAUCUCUAACAGGUUCAUUAAAAUGGUCCUGUGAUCUGAUCCAA